UACGUAGGGGGCGAGCGUUGUCCGGAAUUACUGGGUGUAAAGGGCCCGUAGGCGGUUAUUUAAGUCAGCUGUGAAAGUCCAGGGCUUAACCCUGGAAUUGCAAUUGAAACUGAAUAACUUGAGAUAAGGAGAGGAGAGCGGAAUUCCUAGUGUAGCGGUGAAAUGCGUAGAUAUUAGGAAGAACACCAGUGGCGAAGGCGGCUCUCUGGCCUUACCCUGACGCUGAGGGGCGAAAGCGUGGGUAGCGAACAGGAUUAGAUACC
Molecule: ribosomal RNA, 263 nt
Filed under: uncultured bacterium
Lineage: Bacteria
Description: partial 16S ribosomal RNA
Rfam family: Bacterial small subunit ribosomal RNA
Source: RNAcentral